Nicotiana tabacum (common tobacco) is the source of this 1520-nucleotide long non-coding RNA. RefSeq lists it as uncharacterized. The record is from RefSeq and is a predicted model, not a curated record. Lineage: Eukaryota; Viridiplantae; Streptophyta; Magnoliopsida; Solanales; Solanaceae.
CAACUGAAUAUCGUCAGGCUUAAUAUGGCGGAAGCUCACAAAUCGAGAAAUGGUCCAAAUUUUUUUGGCCUCGCCGGCUGCGAUUCUCCGGCUCAAAUUUUUUCCUCAGUUAUUUUUGCCGGUCGUCUCCGGCGGUGAUGCGCUCUUACGAGGUUUCUUAAGGUUGUCCAUAUGCUCAGGUGCCUCUGGAAGCGUGACUACUGAGGAUGUUGCUUCAAUGCUUAUUGGACUAGGAGUGAAGAAAAAUGUUGAUCUCAGAAAGCUUGCAUUGGCUGGAGACUUUUUACUUUAUUUGCAAACCUUUUUCGGUCAGCCUUCUGGUUCUGUGGUUUCCCUUGAGCUGUGAGCAACUGGUACUGCCUGAAUCUUAAGAGAAGGAGCUUUACGGCACAAUAAAAACCCUAGCUCAACAUGGGAGUUCGUUCCUUCGGGGACAUCCUAUAAAAUUGGAACGAUACAGAGAAGAUUAGCAUGCCCUGUGCAAGGAUGGCACGCACAAAUCGAGAAAUGGUCCGAAUUGUUUUUACCAUCUCGCCAGCGGUGAUAUCGGCUAUACUCCGAUGCCAAAGAAGUUUUUCCGGUCGGCCGCGGCGAUGCUCUCUCCCGAGAUUUCUUGAGUUAUUCGAAGUCGAGCGUGUUGGGGAGUAUAUGUUGUGAGCUGCUGCGCAAGGUGUUCAGUUAGCUUUUUCUCAAGUUUCUUUCUCUUCCGGGAGAGCAUUCCUAUGGCAAAGAUUAAAAAGGAGGGUCUUUAAUCAAGCUCCUAGGGUGGUUCGAACAAGAAGUGUUCUUUUGUAUUCUUAAUUGUUAUUAUAGCACCUACGGCAUGUAGAGGAUGUUAAAACAAGAGUCACAGUGGGUACCUUUGUAUCAGGUAUUGGAGGUUGUCCAUAUGCUCGGGUAAACCUGGAUAUGUGAGUACUGAGAGGAUGUUGCUUCCAUGCUCAAUGGACUACAAGUGAAGUCAAAUGUGGGUCUCAGAGAGCCUACAUUGGCUGCAGGAGACUUUAACUGCAACCGAUCUGGGGGGCUUCUGGUUCUUUGGUUGCCAUUUUCUUGAGCUCUGAGCAACCGGUACUGCCUAAAGCUUCUUGUAUCUCUGAUGCUUUUGACAUGUCUAUAUUGCAUCUUUGACAUGAAAGUCACUUUGGACCAACCCCGCUGUACCAUCAAGUCUUGUGCUGUAAAACAUACUGACUCUGGCAUGCAUGUCCAGGUGAGGACUGCACAAACCCUCCGCGCCGCAUGCAAAGUAGGGGCAGGACUUAGAAGAACGAGUAUACGUAUGGAUUGCUUUGUGGAAGAUAGAAUUAUAAUCGUGCAUGGGUUGGUAAUUUGUAAGAUGAUAACAGUAUGAAAAGGUGAAGGAACUACUAUAUCUUUAUGGAGCAAACUCAUUUUAAUGUUACUGUCUUAGAUUAUUUUUUUGAAAUAAACUUCUUAUAUGAACUUCUAUUGAGUCAAUGAACUUGUAGGGGAUAUUCGAAUUUGUGGUAAUUAGGUAGAAUGAUACUUAAUAGUCU